Molecule: long non-coding RNA, 1419 nt
Filed under: Oryctolagus cuniculus (rabbit)
Lineage: Eukaryota; Metazoa; Chordata; Mammalia; Lagomorpha; Leporidae
Description: lncRNA (ENSOCUG00000035947.1)
Source: RNAcentral
AUGCACACUCCAGGUGGGGUGGGGCACUGCCCACUCCCACAACGGAGCAGUCAGCCCCUGACACACAGGAGAUUUCCACAAGCUGAAAAGAGCACAGACGGGCUCAGCGCUCAUGACGGCAAACGUGCAGCCCAGGCAAGGAGUCCUCACACAUCCGCAAGAAGAGGAAAAGAAUUGGGGCAUCCGUGGAAAGCCACGUGGGUGCAGCCCCACGGAGGGAAAGCCAGUGCCGCGUGGAUCAUCCUGGGUCCCUCCAGCUUGAGAAGCUUGUGCUGUGUGGACGCGGAGCUGGUGGUGUCCCCACGUCCCAGCCUAGGGAUUCAGAAGACACCAGACGGGAACUGCGAGCGUCAGCAAGCCAGGGGCUCGGUGUGCCUGGGCCCAAGGAAACCAGCGUCAUUACGGCAGGUGUUUGGGGCCCACACGGUGGCACAGCAGGUAAAGCCACUACCCACAGCACCUGCAUCCCACAUGAGCACCAGUUCAAGAGCCAUGCAGCUCCCUGCUGAUGCACCGCAGAAAGCAGCAGAGAACGGCCUAAGUGCUUGGGGCCCUGCCACCCCUAUCAGAGACCCAGAUGAAGCUCCUGGCUCCUGGCUCCUGGCUUUGGCCUGGCCCAGCCCUGGCUGCUGCAGCCAUGUGGGGAGUGAACCAGCAGAUGGAAGAUCUCACUUUGUCUCUCAUUCGCACACUCUCUCUUUCUACUCUGUCUUUCAAAUACAUAAAAUAAAUCUGAAAAGAAAAGAAGAAAGAAAGAGAGAGAGAGAGAGAACAAGCAGGUGGGAGCUGUACACACACAAACUUCACGUCUACAGGACAGCGCUGGCCCAGAGGUUGAGACGCCAUUUGGGACACGCACAGUCCAGAUCAGAAGGCCACGCCCAGGUCUCAUCUCUGCCUCCAUUCUUCUUGGAAAUGUGCAUCGCUGGGUGGCUCAAGUGGGUGGGCCCCUGCCACCUAUGUGGGAGCCCUGGAGGGCGUUCCCGGCUCCUGGCUUCAGCCUGCCCCAGCCGCUCUGCAGGCACUUGGAGAGUGAACCAGUGGAUGCAAGUGCUCUCUCACUCUCGUUCUCUCUCAAAAGCAUACAUGAAAAAACUAAAAAGACAAACUUCAAACACAGGCCCCUUGGAAGGUCUCCGGGACACCAUCCUUUCCGCAGCGACCGUCAGAGCUCUGCGGUCCCACAGACUGGAGAGCUCUGCGGCCUCCUGCCUCUCGCCCGAGAGGACCAGGAGCUGGCUCCAGGAGCCCAUCCUGCUCCAACCACUCAGCCAGGUAGAAGGGACCCGGCCCCGCCCAAGGCCCCCGUUCCCUCCUCCCACCUCAUCCAGCUGCUUCUUCCAAAAGACAAAGAAGCAGAAGCACACGCGUGUGCACACACGCACUGACAAACACCACGCAGACGGACAUUCUCCUUAA